This 2523-nucleotide long non-coding RNA is filed under the name Bemisia tabaci. RNAcentral describes it as "lncRNA ENSSSA3NGG000665". The record is from RNAcentral. Lineage: Eukaryota; Metazoa; Arthropoda; Insecta; Hemiptera; Aleyrodidae.
GCGUCUCACUCUUUUCUCCCUGGAGCUUUCCCUUUCCAUCGCGGCCUAUGGUAAAAGUAGUCCCUAUCGUAAAGCAUGUUUUUUCGUUUAGGAUGUAUUUCCUGUGAAAUAGGCCUCCUGAAGAGUAAAAAAAUCAUAAUAAUCGUGACUUUGAGUCGAAAAUAGCUUUGAAUAAUAGAAAAAUAAACUUUGCUGCGGUCAAGCGGCGUAUGAAUACAUGGAAUUUCCUCCCUAACCUCCUUUCGAUCAGAUAUCAGUGAUAUUGAUGUUGUGAUUUGUAUCGAAAGUUGUGUUUUGAAUUAGUGUCGGCGAUUCAUGAUCGGUCGCGAUGUUAUUGUGUGAAUCUAAUCGGAAAGUGGAUAUGUGAUGGUUUUACCAUGGUGUUCAGUGAAGUGUCGUUGUCGUGUCGUAAGUUUCGGUGUAACGUGAGUGAAAGUUCGUUGUUUUCGCAGCGGCGGGGUUGGCAAGUUGAAAAGUCACUGUGGCUGUGCCUAACAUGGCUGCUACUGAAGCUGAGCCCAGCUAAACGAGGUGAACCGUGAUUCCGUUCAACAGGAGCAGCCCUCGGAUCUAGGAAAUGCAGCUCUGCAAAACGGAACGGUUAACAGGAACAACAGCCGUUUGAUUGAUCGGGUAAAUACCGAUGUGGGAAACGCGAGAAUCAAACAACCGGUGCCGAAUCCCCAUCCCCCAGAAAUGAAUCAGUACCGGCCCGAAUCCGGAACUAGUCUGUCUAAUAGCGAGCAAAAUUCUAAUAAUGUCGACCAAGUGCCAAUCAAAGUCUUUAAUUCUGAUAGUAAAAUGCACCCAUCCAAUUCUGAAGGUGGUGGAGAAGGUGAUCCAAACUAUCCAAAGUUGUCUCCUGAGAGUCAAAACAUGCCAAGUGGUUAUGGUCAUGCCUUUGCUUCCAGAGGAGGGCAUAGUCACCCUGACCAACAUAGUUCAUCCAACAUGUCACCACUGCACGGUGGUGAACUACAUCAAAAUAACUCAUUCGGCCAGUUCAUUAGACACGCAUACCAAAGUUCAAAACCCAUGCCAGGCUCGCCUCGGUUACAAGGUGUAGGCCCUAACAUGGUAUCGGUCAGUGCUUUCUCCCCCCAUAACCACCAGUCACGAUUUAUGUCAGGUCAAAGUAUAUCGCAGCCCUCAGGACCCACUCCUACUCUUAAUCAGUUGUUGCAAUCUUCUAAUCCAGUGCAAAGGUAUCAAAACAAUUUCAGUGAAUAUAGUGCGGGAAUGCAAAAAGGCGAUCAAUCACAAGGUACCCUACCGUACAAUCAAGUGUGGCCGUCGCCUCAAACAAUGGCUCCUUAUGGACCUCAACAAGGAGUGGUGAUGUUUCGAAACCAAACCACGAAUGGGCCGGGAAGAGGUGGACCUUCGCCGCAGCAACAGCAGCAAACAGGCCAGCAAGGAACGCAGCAGCCGUCGGGAGUAGGUACUCUUCAGCGAGCUUCUCCGCCUGGCCAGCAAUAUCUACCUCAAAGUGGAGCAUCCUCUCCGGGGCCCCCGCCGAAUUCUGUCAUGUACUCUCAAUCCCCUUCGCAAUCCAAUAGUAAUGCGCAAUCAUCUCAAAGUGCAUUGAACCAACAGUAUCCUCCAUUUCCUCAGAAAUAUUCAUCCUCGCAGAAUGUUUCUCCUGCUGGAGCUUCUUCCAGAUCAUCGCAUCCCUCGCACCAGGUGAACCCACCUUUUAACAAUGAGGGUCAGACAGGCCAAGGACCAAGUCCCUCGCAAUCUCAGAAUUCUCAGCAGCAAAGAGGGCAGUCGCAACAGCAGCUGGCAGGCUUGCAAGCAGGUCCUGGCCAUCAGCAGCAAUCAGCACUGACUCCUCCUGCGUCAAAUAUGUCCUCCAGCGGGGCUUUUGGGUUAGGGCCAGGAGAGCAGCGGUCCUGGCCUACACAACAACAACAUCCACCGAGUCCUAUCUCUGGGCCUGGGCCAGGGCCCCCUCAAAACUCCUCACCUGCUCCGCAGUCACCGCCUCCCGGCCAGUACCCUCCACCAUCCCCUCAACAUCAGUCGCAUCAGUCACCGCAGCAUCAACAGCCGCAUCAAUCACCGCAACAUCAGCAGCCGCAGCAAUCUCCGCAGCAUCAGCCUUUCUCUUCGAGGACUCCUUCUUCACCAAAUCCACAUGCGCCUGAUACAGGGGAUCUGACAGGCCAGAAUAGUAAUGACAGCUGCAGUGGGAGUGGGGCUGCUGGUCCGGGCACGCCUAAUUCUCAGGGGAUGAGACCAACCCCAUCGCCGACGGGCUCCUCAGGUUCACGAUCCAUGUCCCCGCAGUCGGUAAGUCUCUAUUCUAUUUCUAUGUGUCCUCUAUACAUUAUAUAUCACAAUAUAUUCAUAAUAUAUGUAAAUGAAGCCAGCGACGGAUUUACCUUUUUAGCGCUCCCAGGCAAAUCUUAUAGUCGCGCUCCUCGUAGGACGGACGACUGUGUGGGGAGGUCUGGAAGGUACCCCCCCCCCCCCCCAGCCAAAAGGGGGGUUCGGGGGUCCUCCCCCGGAAAAUUUUCA